AUAGUUACUUGGCAUGGGAGAUGGCGUGGCCAGAAACAUGGUUUUCCUUGGCAAGGCUGACUCACUGCACUCUGGAUGUGCUGACCCCUGCAGUUUCACCAAAAAGCAUGAAACUUGACUACAUAAUUUGUGGUAGUGGGGAACUGUGUUCAUGUUCUGCCCUG
Molecule: small nuclear RNA, 164 nt
Organism: Rattus norvegicus (Norway rat)
Lineage: Eukaryota; Metazoa; Chordata; Mammalia; Rodentia; Muridae
Product: U1 spliceosomal RNA
Source: Ensembl